CUCUAAUCAGGGACUGGUUUAGACCUGGGACACCAGGUGGGUGGUUCCCCUCUAAUCAGGGACUGGUUUAGACCUGGGACACCAGGUGGGUGGUUCCCCUCUAAUCAGGGACUGGUUUAGACCUGGGACACCAGGUGGGUGGUUCCCCUCUAAUCAGGGGCUGGUUUAGACCUGGGACACCAGGUGGGUGGUUCCCCUCUAAUCAGGGACUGGUUUAGACCUGGGACACCAGGUGGGUGGUUCCCCUCUAAUCAGGGGCUGGUUUAGACCUGGGACACCAGGUGGGUGGUUCCCCUCUAAUCAGGGACUGGUUUAGACCUGGGACACCAGGUGGGUGGUUCCCCUCUAAUCAGGGACUGGUUUAGACCUGGGACACCAGGUGGGUGGUUCCCCUCUAAUCAGGGACUGGUUUAGACCUGGGACACCAGGUGGGUGGUUCCCCUCUAAUCAGGGACUGGUUUAGACCUGGGACACCAGGUGGGUGGUUCCCCUCUAAUCAGGGACUGGUUUAGACCUGGGACACCAGGUGGGUGGUUCCCCUCUAAUCAGGGACUGGUUUAGACCUGGGACACCAGGUGGGUGGUUCCCCUCUAAUCAGGGACUGGUUUAGACCUGGGACACCAGGUGGGUGGUUCCCCUCUAAUCAGGGGCUGGUUUAGACCUGGGACACCAGGUGGGUGGUUCCCCUCUAAUCAGGGGCUGGUUUAGACCUGGGACACCAGGUGGGUGGUUCCCCUCUAAUCAGGGACUGGUUUAGACCUGGGACACCAGGUGGGUGGUUCCCCUCUAAUCAGGGACUGGUUUAGACCUGGGACACCAGGUGGGUGGUUCUCCUCUAAUCAGGGGCUGGUUUAGA
This is a long non-coding RNA of Oncorhynchus keta (chum salmon), 856 nucleotides long. RefSeq lists it as uncharacterized. The record is from RefSeq and is a predicted model, not a curated record. NCBI's taxonomy places the organism in Eukaryota, Metazoa, Chordata, Actinopteri, Salmoniformes, Salmonidae. The transcript is spliced from 4 exons.